RNAcentral lists this ribosomal RNA (468 nucleotides) under uncultured bacterium. RNAcentral's name for it is "partial 16S ribosomal RNA". It matches the Rfam family "Bacterial small subunit ribosomal RNA", at positions 28 to 507 of the family's 1533-position model. The record is from RNAcentral.
GACGAACGCUGGCGGCGUGCUUAACACAUGCAAGUCGAACGGAAAGGCCCUGCUUUUGUGGGGUGCUCGAGUGGCGAACGGGUGAGUAACACGUGAGUAACCUGCCCUUGACUUUGGGAUAACUUCAGGAAACUGGGGCUAAUACCGGAUAGGAGCUCCUGCUGCAUGGUGGGGGUUGGAAAGUUUCGGCGGUUGGGGAUGGACUCGCGGCUUAUGAGCUUGUUGGUGGGGUAGUGGCUUACCAAGGCUUUGACGGGUAGUCGGCCUGGGAGGGUGACCGGCGACAUUGGGACUGAGAUACGGCCCAGACUCCUACGGGAGGCAGCAGUGGGGAAUAUUGCACAAUGGGCGGAAGCCUGAUGCAGCAACGCCGCGUGCGGGAUGACGGCCUUCGGGUUGUAAACCGCUUUCGCCUGUGACGAAGCGUGAGUGACGGUAAUGGGUAAAGAAGCACCGGCUAACUACGUG